GUCAAAGAGAAGGAAAGUGGUCAGUCUGGUCUUCAACUUGACUUUAGGAACACCUUGCAAAAUCACUUCUAUUUCCAAGACUGAUCAAAACCUUUUUGUAAUGUCUCUCUUGUCCCUCUGCAGCAGACAGAGAAUAUGGCUGUACAUCCAACUGGCCUCACAACGGCAGACCACGUGUAACCACACCAGCCCAGGGCCUCCACAUCCAGAUUCUGCACCUGCAGAAUCGUCUGAGAACAGCCACCCGGGAAAGCUGAUGAAACUGAGGAGUA
This is a long non-coding RNA of Salvelinus namaycush (lake trout), 272 nucleotides long. RefSeq lists it as uncharacterized. The record is from RefSeq and is a predicted model, not a curated record. The transcript is spliced from 3 exons. Lineage: Eukaryota; Metazoa; Chordata; Actinopteri; Salmoniformes; Salmonidae.